Non-coding RNA from Myodes glareolus (Bank vole), 2021 nucleotides. NCBI's taxonomy places the organism in Eukaryota, Metazoa, Chordata, Mammalia, Rodentia, Cricetidae. The record is from RefSeq and is a predicted model, not a curated record.
CAAGAGAGCAAACGUAGACCUUGUCAAUAAUCUGAUGCGAUCUGAAAGAUGACACUUUAUUUACUUAUCUUGCUCAGGGCUUAAUUCUGAAAUUCCACACAAAUUAAACUGUGAGUGAAGCAUAGUUUAUGGCCACAGGUGUGUAAGCAUAGGAAGCAGAAAGGUCUCCUCGCUCCUUCCAGUGGCCCUGUUGGCCUUUAACGAUCCACACCCCACGCUGAUUCUCCCCAAAUCAGUUGCUCCCACAAACUGAGCAGUUGAGAAACAGGCAGCUCAUCGUCACGAUCUUCUCAGAGACACGUCUGGAAAGCACUGUCCGUCAUCCUUGGCCUCACGAGCAGAAAGCUUGUGCUGCUGUGGUAAAAAGAAGCAUUACCAAAGCAACUUAGAGAAGGGUGAGUUUAUUGGGGCUUCCAGUACAUCUCCAUGGAGGAAUGCAGGCUUGGCAGCUGGAGCUGGAAGCCAAGAACUUACGUCUUGAACCACAAGCAGAAAGCAGAGAGUGAAUGGGAAUAGCACAGGGCUUUUGAAGCCUCAAAGCCCACCCCCAGUGACACACUUCCUCCAGCAAGGCCACACCUCCUAAACCUACCCAAACAGCACCACCGAUUGAGGACCAAGUAUUCAAAUGUCUGACUACCUGGGACUUCUCUGUCAAAUCACCACAAACUAAACGUCAUAAAAGUCAUGAAUUAAAUGACGAAGGGGGUGGGGUAAUAGAUGAUACAUCUCUAUGUGCAAAGCAUGACAUUGUAUGGGGUGGAGAACAUGCUGGGAAGGAAGCCAGGGCAUCUUCUAACUAGCCCCUCUGGCUUGAGUAGGUAGAAUGUCUUGAAGACACUCAUCCCCUGAAGGUCAGUGGCUUACGUCUUCCCAGGGAGGGGAGCUCUUUAAGGACUAGUCCAGAAGCCCACUGCUAAAUUUGGAAGAAUAAUUAAAGGGCAUUUUGCCAUUUCUUCUGCUUCCUUCCUUCAGAACUCUUUCACAUCUAAAGCAUGUAUCUAGAAAGAGCAGAAGAUACUAGGGUCAAGUACAUCUUACAAGAAAAUCGGAGUGAGUGGCUGAGCAGAUGUGGGGUGUGCCAUGAAACACUGAACCACAGGCUGGAAAGGUUCCAUCCUAGAAACCUACGUUUCUCUCCUCCCAUCCCUCUUGUAGCUGUCACUCUUGAUGCAAGUUGUGUUGACAAUAGCUUUACCAUGUGUGUGAGGGGGGAACUAGUUUAUUAAUGGCAGGGCUUGGGGAGCUUCACCCAUACCAGGCAUGGGUGUGGGAGUCCAAUACACAGCACUGUCAUCAUGGUCCUGACCCCUCCUGUGCCCCUUUCUCCUAACAGAGGAAGAAGGGUACAGAGUUAGCUUUGGGAGAGAUGAGUCUUCAAUUGUGGUGAACUUUGAACUUGGUAGCUACAAAUUUGGUAGCUUGCAAAAGCCAGACAUGUUAAAUGAACAUAAUAUCCAUAUUAGUAAAAAUGCCUUCAAUUACAGGUAUAAAAUCCAGUUGAACCAGCUUUUCCACAAGGAGGAUUUACAAGAAAUUCGUCUUGGAAAGUUGAGAGUGGCUCCGGGUUAAGACAGUCCUGAAGAGUCUGCCCCUUUUCUCUGUGUCUUACUUUUGCCUUCCCUCUGCUGACUUCUUUCUUAGACUCCUCUUCCAAUAGUGAAACAGGCUUCUGGAAACUUUAGACUCUCACUUUCUUCACAGCAAAGGAACCCAAAAGAAGAACCUUGCCCCAUUCUGAACAGUCCCAGCUCAGGGCAGACUUCUUCAGUCUUCUGAUCGCCUGCUCUCAUUUGGACACAGGCCUCCUUCCCCUCCCUACCUGUUCACUGAAGCAUCAUCACGUUCAGUGCUGUGCCUCUUAUCCUCUUGUGAUUCUUCCACAUAACAAUGGAUGAGUCCUUUACUGCUAACAUUGACUGCACCCCGUACAAUGAUUGCCUCCCCCAAAUAACUACAAGAUGAGGACUGGAGAGAAAGCUCAGUCUGUAGAGUGCUUGUCUAACAAACACAAUGACCUG